This 379-nucleotide small RNA is filed under the name Oryza sativa Japonica Group (Japanese rice). RNAcentral's name for it is "sRNA Os02g0564150". The record is from RNAcentral. Lineage: Eukaryota; Viridiplantae; Streptophyta; Magnoliopsida; Poales; Poaceae.
CCAUACUAAGCUCCGUCCAUCCAGAAAAAGCAAAAGCGACUCCAGAGCAGCCGCAAAAAAGACCAAAGCCUCACAUCCCCAAACACAAAAAAUUUAGCUCAAACACAUGAACAUCGGGGAGCUAGCCUCACCGGGGUCGCACUGCCGGUAGAACUUCUCCACAUCUGCACAACCACACAAAAAAAAGAACAGCAAAUCCAUCAAAUCAAUCAAUCAAUCAAUCAGCAAAGAGCAUCCCAAACAACACCGAAGAGAGCUACCCACCGGUGGUGAGCGCCUUGACGAUGCCCGCGCGGCGCGCGCGGAAGUCGCGGAAGACGUCCUCCGCGGACCGCGCGUUGUGGUGCACCGCCGCCCCCGCCGCGUUCCCGGCGGCGGC